AGCAGCCGCGGUAAUUCCAGCUCCAAUAGCGUAUAUUAAAGUUGUUGCAGUUAAAAAGCUCGUAGUUGAAUUUCGGGAUCAAUAUAUUGGUCGUGCCUCCGGUAUGCACUGGUAUCAUUGAUUUCUACCUUCUGACGAACUAUGAUGUCAUUAAUUUGGUGUCAUAGGGAAUCAGGACUGUUACUUUGAAAAAAUUAGAGUGUUUAAAGCAGGCACACGCUUGAAUACAUUAGCAUGGAAUAAUGAAAUAGGACGUUUGACCCUAUUUUGUUGGUUUCUAGGAUCGACGUAAUGAUUAAUAGGGAUAGUUGGGGGCAUUAGUAUUCAAUUGUCAGAGGUGAAAUUCUUGGAUUUAUUGAAGACUAACUACUGCGAAAGCAUUUGCCAAGGAUGUUUUCAUUAAUCAAGAACGAAAGUUAGGGGAUCGAAGACGAUCAGAUACCGUCGUAGUCUUAACCAUAAACUAUGCCGACUAGGGAUCGGAUGAUGUUAAUUUUUUAAUGACUC
Molecule: ribosomal RNA, 507 nt
Filed under: uncultured Glomus
Lineage: Eukaryota; Fungi; Glomeromycota; Glomeromycetes; Glomerales; Glomeraceae
Description: SSU rRNA
Rfam family: Eukaryotic small subunit ribosomal RNA
Source: RNAcentral